GAUGAACGCUGGCGGCGUGCCUAAUACAUGCCAGUCGAGCGAACGGACGAGAAGCUUGCUUCUCUGAUGUUAGCGGCGGACGGGUGAGUAACGCGUGGAUAACCUACCUAUAAGACUGGGAUAACUUCGGGAAACCGGAGCUAAUACCGGAUAAUAUUUUGAACCGCAUGGUUCAAAAGUGAAAGACGGUCUUGCUGUCACUUAUAGAUGGAUCCGCGCUGCAUUAGCUAGUUGGUAAGGUAACGGCUUACCAAGGCAACGAUGCAUAGCCGACCUGAGAGGGUGAUCGGCCACACUGGAACUGAAACACGGUCCAGACUCCUACGGGAGGCAGCAGUAGGGAAUCUUCCGCAAUGGGCGAAAGCCUGACGGAGCAACGCCGCGUGAGUGAUGAAGGUCUUCGGAUCGUAAAACUCUGUUAUUAGGGAAGAACAUAUGUGUAAGUAACUGUGCACAUCUUGACGGUACCUAAUCAGAAAGCCACGGCUAACUACGUG
Molecule: ribosomal RNA, 497 nt
Filed under: uncultured bacterium
Lineage: Bacteria
Description: partial 16S ribosomal RNA
Rfam family: Bacterial small subunit ribosomal RNA
Source: RNAcentral